GAUGAACGCUGGCGGCGUGCCUAAUACAUGCAAGUCGAGCGAACGGACGAGAAGCUUGCUUCUCUGAUGCUAGCGGCGGACGGGUGAGUAACACGUGGAUAACCUACCUAUAAGACUGGGAUAACUUCGGGAAACCGGAGCUAAUACCGGAUAAUAUUUUGAACCGCAUGGUUCAACAGUGAAAGACGGUCUUGCUGUCUCUUAUAGAUGGAUCCGCGCUGCAUUAGCUAGUUGGUAAGGUAACGGCUUACCAAGGCAACGAUGCAUAGCCGACCUGAGAGGGUGAUCGGCCACACUGGAACUGAGACACGGUCCAGACUCCUACGGGAGGCAGCAGUAGGGAAUCUUCCGCAAUGGGCGAAAGCCUGACGGAGCAACGCCGCGUGAGUGAUGAAGGUCUUCGGAUCGUAAAACUCUGUUAUUAGGGAAGAACAUAUGUGUAAGUAACUGUGCACAUCUUGACGGUACCUAAUCAGAAAGCCACGGCUAACUACGUG
This 497-nucleotide ribosomal RNA is filed under the name uncultured bacterium. RNAcentral's name for it is "partial 16S ribosomal RNA". It matches the Rfam family "Bacterial small subunit ribosomal RNA", at positions 28 to 507 of the family's 1533-position model. The record is from RNAcentral.